This 472-nucleotide ribosomal RNA is filed under the name uncultured bacterium. RNAcentral's name for it is "bacterial SSU rRNA". It matches the Rfam family "Bacterial small subunit ribosomal RNA", at positions 328 to 793 of the family's 1533-position model. The record is from RNAcentral.
CGCUAUCACUCCUACGGGAGGCAGCAGUGGGAAUAUUGCACAAUGGGGGAAACCCUGAUGCAGCCAUGCCGCGUGUGUGAAGAAGGCCUUCGGGUUGUAAAGCACUUUCAGUAGGGAGGAAGGUAGUGUAGUUAACACCUGCAUUAUUUGACGUUACCUACAGAAGAAGCACCGGCUAACUCCGUGCCAGCAGCCGCGGUAAUACGGAGGGUGCGAGCGUUAAUCGGAAUUACUGGGCGUAAAGCGCAUGCAGGCGGCCUGUUAAGUCAGAUGUGAAAGCCCGGGGCUUAACCUCGGAAUUGCAUUUGAAACUGGCAGGCUAGAGUCUUGUAGAGGGGGUAGAAUUUCAGGUGUAGCGGUGAAAAUGCGUAGAGAUCUGAAGGAAUACCAGUGGCGAAGGCGGCCCCCUGGACAAAGACUGACGCUCAGAUGCGAAAGCGUGGGGAGCAAACAGGAUUAGAUACCCUGGUAG